ACGUAUUGAUUGAUCGAGAUCCGUU
RNAcentral lists this ribosomal RNA (25 nucleotides) under Eurema blanda arsakia. Its description in RNAcentral is "partial 18S ribosomal RNA". Lineage: Eukaryota; Metazoa; Arthropoda; Insecta; Lepidoptera; Pieridae. The record is from RNAcentral.